Molecule: ribosomal RNA, 395 nt
Filed under: uncultured soil bacterium
Lineage: Bacteria
Description: bacterial SSU rRNA
Rfam family: Bacterial small subunit ribosomal RNA
Source: RNAcentral
AGAACGAACGCUGGCGGCAUGCCUAAUACAUGCAAGUCGAACGAACUCUUCGGAGUUAGUGGCGCACGGGUGCGUAACGCGUGGGAAUCUGCCCCUUGGUUCGGAAUAACAGUUGGAAACGACUGCUAAUACCGGAUGAUGACGAAAGUCCAAAGAUUUAUCGCCAAGGGAUGAGCCCGCGUAGGAUUAGCUAGUUGGUGAGGUAAAGGCUCACCAAGGCAACGAUCCUUAGCUGGUCUGAGAGGAUGAUCAGCCACACUGGGACUGAGACACGGCCCAGACUCCUACGGGAGGCAGCAGUGGGGAAUAUUGGACAAUGGGCGAAAGCCUGAUCCAGCCAUGCCGCGUGUGUGAAGAAGGUCUUCGGAUUGUAAAGCACGUUUAAGUGGGAGGAA